GGUGCGUAGGCGGUCUUUCAAGUCAGGAGUGAAAGGCUACGGCUCAACCGUAGUAAGCUCUUGAAACUGGGAGACUUGAGUGCAGGAGAGGAGAGUGGAAUUCCUAGUGUAGCGGUGAAAUGCGUAGAUAUUAGGAGGAACACCAGUUGCGAAGGCGGCUCUCUGGACUGUAACUGACGCUGAGGCACGAAAGCGUGGGGAGCAAACA
This 208-nucleotide ribosomal RNA is filed under the name Clostridioides difficile. RNAcentral describes it as "partial 16S ribosomal RNA". It matches the Rfam family "Bacterial small subunit ribosomal RNA", at positions 566 to 774 of the family's 1533-position model. Lineage: Bacteria; Bacillati; Bacillota; Clostridia; Peptostreptococcales; Peptostreptococcaceae. The record is from RNAcentral.